Molecule: long non-coding RNA, 1152 nt
Organism: Etheostoma cragini (Arkansas darter)
Lineage: Eukaryota; Metazoa; Chordata; Actinopteri; Perciformes; Percidae
Exons: 2
Source: RefSeq, a predicted model, not a curated record
UUAAAAUACUGCAUGACUGCUUAGUUUUUCAUAUCCACAGAACCGAUUUAUUUGGAUGUGAAGAGUUUUUUUUUAAUCAAAAGCCAGGACCUGAUCAUCAGCAAGCCCUUUUAUCAAUCAGCAGCUUCCCGUUCCAGGUUGGUUUCUCACUCCCAUGCCUGUAUUUAAUGCAUGUCACAUGCAUGCAUUACAUGUCCAUCACGCCUUUUCAGUUAUGGAGCACUUUUCAAAGCCACCGUAUUCUUCUGCAAUAGAUUUUAUUCACUGUGACCAUAAAAAAAAAAAAAACUAUUUUUAUUAACUUUGAUUUUCUAUGAAUUAUUUUACUACAUAAAUUAGUGAAUGUACUUCAAUGAUGCAAAUAAAUCGCACUUAAAAUAAACAUCCAUCAAGAGAUUAAAGCAUGGCCAAUUUCUUUUUAAACUAACAGUAAAAUUAUGUCACUAGAUGGUUGAUGUUUGCUGGGUUGAUUUGUUUGCUGGAAAUAGGGCAUUUAUGUAAUUCUUUUUAGGUAAAUUCAUAACAAUAAGAACAGAACAUACACACUCUUUUAGAAAUACACACUUUUUGUAGGUGUACAGUUGCCAGAAGAUAAUUUACAAAAAAAAUGCUUCUACAGCAUUUCCUCAAACAUACAAUAAAUGUGGGAGGGUAUUUUGUAGUUCUAGCCCAUAAAUGUUGCUGUAAACUAUGAGUUAUAGCCUUUACUUCAUGAUAUAGUGUAAUCUAUAUAAGAACGAGAUCUCAAAUUGACAAUACAUUUAUACAAUUAAAAUCAAAGCACAGCAUUAACAAUAGACACAUUGAAAACUUAAGCAGGUCCUGGAAUACAAAUCUUAUGACAGAAGUAGAAUAAGCACAUUCUACCAUACUAGAACUGCACGGCUCUGGUUUGAAGUAAUACUUCUGGAACUUACAGUGUGUAUUCUACUUACAUAAGCAACAGAACUGCACAUAUACUCUGUAAUCUUUGAACAGCAAUGCAUUGAAAAUGCAGCCAAACACAAUUUGGAGUAAAUUAGUCUUUAUAGAUGCAAAAAGUGAGGUUUCUAAAGGUGCAAAGCAAAUUAAGCAAAAUGCUUUUGUUUUUAUUGACUGAACUCUGGCUUGAAUCACUCCAACAUACAAAUACAAAAAGGCUAAACAAAAUGA